Eupeodes corollae is the source of this 871-nucleotide long non-coding RNA. RefSeq lists it as uncharacterized. The transcript has 3 exons. Lineage: Eukaryota; Metazoa; Arthropoda; Insecta; Diptera; Syrphidae. The record is from RefSeq and is a predicted model, not a curated record.
GUUUAAAAUUUUAAAAAUAAUUCAUUGUAAAGUCUAGAUACUUAUACUUGAAAUUAUUGAUUCCUUAAUAAGAUUUAGUUUCAUUUAAUCGCAUAUAACAUAGAAGACCUAUUUUGACAACAAUUAAAAAGAAAUUGUCUUGCCUUGUAAAUAUUGUUAGGAAUAUUUUCCAAUGUUGAGUGUUGUUGAUAUCUUUCAACGAAUUGAAAAAAGUUACUGUUUUAAAUAUCGAAUUUUAAAUAAUAAAAUUAAACCGAAAAUUGUAGAAAGAAAACAUUUUUACUUCUGAGUGCAAAUAUUAGAAUUUAACUUAUUGCAAUACAACUUAUUUUGCGCUGUGCUUUGUAGACGAAUAACGCAAACAAACCAGUGAUGACAUAAUAUACAUACAUCCACCUAAUUGUUUGGGAAAUAAUACAUAGGUAUUGUAUGUUAAUAAAUUCAUAAAAAAUAAAUUGUGCUUUGUGAAAAAAUAAGUUUUUAUACUCGCCUACAAAAGUCAGCUAGGCUUCAACGUGAACUUUCGUGAACUUGAACAACAUUCCUUUUUAAUUAACACAUAUUUUCAGUUUUAUUGACUUUAUUAAAUGUUAUGUGGUUUUUAGAUAUUGUAUUAUUAGUUAUAGGAGUGAGACUUUGUAAUGACCGUUAACCGCUGCAACGGUUAAUCAUAAAACUUGAUAAACUAGUAAUAUACCAGCUUUCCACUAACACUUUAAUAUAUUUUUAUUAAGGAAAAUGUUUAUGUGGACAGUACAUACGAGCAAGGUUACGACGCGCCGGGAUUCUUAACAGAAAAGCAACACAGCGAUUGCGUUCAAUUCUUGAGCCAUCAUCAACAGUUGUUUAUGAAGUGUUCCCAGCAUUAAAU